Molecule: ribosomal RNA, 487 nt
Filed under: uncultured eukaryote
Lineage: Eukaryota
Description: bacterial SSU rRNA
Rfam family: Eukaryotic small subunit ribosomal RNA
Source: RNAcentral
GAACGACGGAAACUGCGAACGGCUCAUUAAAUCAGUUGCGAUCUACUCGGCGUUCCGCGCCGCCGGAUAACCGUAGUAAUUCUAGGGCUAAUACGUGCGAAGCGCCCGAAGCCGCGAGGCGACGGGCGUUCUCGCCGGAUGUAGGAACCGACCCGGGGACCGCCGGGGCAACCCGGCGCCCCCGAGACGGGGCGAACCACGGUGAAAUGACGGAUCGUCGGCCCCGCGCCGGCGACUCGCCGAAUGAGUUUCUGACCUAUCAACUCGAGACGGCGGGGUAGAGGCCCGCCGCGGUAACGACGGGUAACGGGGAAUCAGGGUUCGAUUCCGGAGAGGGAGCCCGAGAAACGGCUACCACUUCCAAGGAAGGCAGCAGGCGCGCAACUUACCCUAAUCUCGAUUCGAGGAGGUAGUGACAAGAAAUACCGAUGCGGGACCCUACGGGUGCCGCGUUCGGAAUGAGUACGAUUCGAACCACCUAACGAGG